UACAGAGGCCUCAAGCGUUGUUCGGAAUUACUGGGCGUAAAGCGAAUGUAGGUGGUGAUGCAAGUCAGAUGUGAAAGCCCUGGGCUUAACCCGGGAAUUGCGUUUGAUACUGCGUUGCUCGAGUGCAGGAGAGGUAAGUGGAAUUCCUGGUGUAGGGGUGAAAUCCGUAGAUAUCAGGAGGAAUACCGAUGGCGAAGGCAACUUACUGGCCUGUAACUGACACUGAGAUUCGAAAGCAUGGGUAGCAAACAGG
RNAcentral lists this ribosomal RNA (253 nucleotides) under uncultured bacterium. RNAcentral's name for it is "partial 16S ribosomal RNA". It matches the Rfam family "Bacterial small subunit ribosomal RNA", at positions 524 to 776 of the family's 1533-position model. The record is from RNAcentral.